Molecule: long non-coding RNA, 2195 nt
Filed under: Toxoplasma gondii VEG
Lineage: Eukaryota; Apicomplexa; Conoidasida; Eucoccidiorida; Sarcocystidae
Source: RNAcentral
UUAUGUUAAGUUUUGUAUAUGACUGCAGUUGAAUAUUUUGCGUAACGAGACUCUUGCUUUCUCGUCACCUUUUUUUUCUUUUCCGUAAAGCGCGCGGGGGCAUAGAAAGGUACGACCACAUGUGUAGAACCUUUCCAUUUGUGUUUGUAUAGCUCAUAGACGCAAUCCCUUGUAUUAAUACGGCUAUUUUCACUCACUGGAAGUUUUAUCCACUUUUGGAUGCAUUUUUUGACACUGUACUAAAGGGUUGUCGCAUCGUUCUUCCCCCUGUCCCGCUCUGGAUGUUGAUGCGCCCCUCUCUCCCAGAUCCGACAAAUAACGUUUCAAACUGGAGUCAAAACGAGUGGCAUUGCAGACUCCUAGCUUUUUCCCAGUUCAGUGCAAAGAAUUUCCGCUGUUCCCGCCGGUUAUCCCCGAUGCGGCUGCAGCAGGCUUUUGGAUGGCCACAUGCAAUAAGGAACCCACAAAAGGGGCCAGCCCCCCAGUUUUCGUCGUGUGCACACUUCAUCCAUUUGAUUCGAAAGGUAAUUGUGUACCUCAGGUCUGGAGGAUCCGCAAGCUCCUGCGUGUCGCGGUGGACUUCUUCUCUUAAGACCACGCCGAUGUCGUCCAGAGUAAAAGCGAAAAAAGCUAUUAAAAAUGAAGUCGAAUACAAGGCGGCCGAACGUCGGACGGCCGAGAUUGCAGCGGAAGCAGAGGCCCUGUGCAAGGGUAGAACAGCUUUAACUGUAGGAAGUGCCGAAUGACGCUAGUACUAUAGAGGCAAUGUCGAUGCACGGGCUGGUCCGUGGUCCUCGGUUUGGCGUGUUCCGCAGCGUCACAAUCACCGUCCCCUUUGAGGAUUUCAUUUGACCAUCCAGGCCGAGCUAAAUGUGUGUUCCACCGCAGCGGGGUUUGUUGGGCUCCAGCAGGGGAGUAAGAUAAGUGACGAUUUCUGCACUGCAGGUGCCACUCUCAUUUACAUCUCCGACGUGUAAGUGCUCCUUCGGACCGUUGUAAUCCGAUAGUUUCACUUGAUUCCAGGAUACUUUGUUGACGUUUUCUUGAUUCACGUCAACAAAAUGCCUUCUAAUGUCUUCACCACUUGAACACGAAAAAGGCAUUAACUACAUUUUAAGGACUCCAUUUUCUCUUCUAAUGAGUUUUUACAGGAGCAGAUCGAACGCCGGAAAGAAAUGUUAAUCGAGAUAGAUCAGGACGAACAGCAGCUUGCCACUGAACGUACAGCUUGCAAAGCUUUCCAGGAAAACUGUAGACGGCGUUGGGAUAUCAUGAGUGAGACCGCCGCAAAUGAAGAGGCCUGGAGCAACUUCUCUACAUGCCAAUGCUAUCCGGAAGCAGACCGCGAAGCCGUGCUCACGACCUUCCUCUCUCACUGGCGAGCUCACGAUGAAAGCACGAUGACUGAUAUUCUCUCCUCUUGUGCGUUAGCAGGCGAGUCACACCGCAGGCGCGCACGUAAUGAAGUUUCGCAAUAAGAACUUUCGUUCACGUCCAAGCUUUACAACGAUCAACCUCCAUCAUCCAUGGAAACAGUUAUUGGAUAUAUUUCGAUGAAUGUCGUCAAAAUAGUUUUCCCUCGUUGUGCCUGCGUUAUUAACUAUGCUGGACUCAAAGGCUGUCUGCAAGGUGGUCACAUCAUCGUCGUGCUACUUGGCGGUCCUCGUAUCAGCCCUUCCGCUCAUAUUUCAGACCAGCAGUGAAAUGUCAUGAAGCAUUACCUACAUGAGUACGUCGACAUGCGUAAACGGUACCUGCGGACGCUAAUGCAGCAGAAUGAUCCUCUGAUGUUGACGUGUUUCCAACUUCCUAUUGCUUCUAGAUCUGGUGAUGUCGAAUGCGUUUUGGACAGUUCAGGCCGCAUGCGUUUACAAGUUAAGGACUUGGAGUCUGUUGUUCUACGUUUCUUCUGUAUCAACGUAUUCUGAUCUUCAUUGCCACCCCUAAGACGCCUUUUAGAGGCGCCUUUUGCUUAGUUUUCAGAACAGAACGGAGAAGGCACGUGGGACGAAUCUUUUCUGCGCUGGUGCGUGAUCUCAGAGAAAAUUGCUGACCGUUUAGUGGUCAUGUGGUACAAGGCGACAAGUACGGAUGACAAGAACAGGAGGACGUUUUGUCGGGAGUAAGCCGACAAAUAGCCCGUCUAUGUUGCAGGGGCCUGCACAGGAAAAUUUCAUGGUAACAGGGCACACGCC